UGGGGAAUAUUGCACAAUGGGCGCAAGCCUGAUGCAGCCAUGCCGCGUGUGUGAAGAAGGCCUUCGGGUUGUAAAGCACUUUCAGCGGGGAGGAAGGCGGUGAGGUUAAUAACCUCAUCGAUUGACGUUACCCGCAGAAGAAGCACCGGCUAACUCCGUGCCAGCAGCCGCGGUAAUACGGAGGGUGCAAGCGUUAAUCGGAAUUACUGGGCGUAAAGCGCACGCAGGCGGUCUGUCAAGUCGGAUGUGAAAUCCCCGGGCUCAACCUGGGAACUGCAUUCGAAACUGGCAGGCUAGAGUCUUGUAGAGGGGGGUAGAAUUCCAGGUGUAGCGGUGAAAUGCGUAGAGAUCUGGAGGAAUACCGGUGGCGAAGGCGGCCCCCUGGACGAAGACUGACGCUAAGGUGCGAAAGCGUGGGGAGCAAACAGG
This 429-nucleotide ribosomal RNA is filed under the name Chloroflexota bacterium. RNAcentral describes it as "Chloroflexi bacterium partial 16S ribosomal RNA". It matches the Rfam family "Bacterial small subunit ribosomal RNA", at positions 355 to 776 of the family's 1533-position model. Lineage: Bacteria; Bacillati; Chloroflexota. The record is from RNAcentral.